GCAUAGAAUGCAGAAUAUUUACUCACAACUUUCUGCUGGAGUAUUUUCUUGUGGCAAAAGGAAUAUUGUUGUUGGGUCAGAUAGCACUAAUGGCUGCAACUUUUUGCUACAGAAUAUUCCUGAUGAGCAGUUAGUAAGUAACAAGAAGGGGGUUGGUCCGUCUGUUGUGCUUACUUCGGCACACACGGCCAUGAAUAUGCCAGCGGCAUGUUGCUGGUCCAUGCCUGCAUUCCAGGGACAGAGGAGUUUUGCAUUUGAAAGGGAGGGCCAGCCGAUGGAUGAUGUAAGGAAGAUUGAACGCAGUUUGCAUAUUGGGGCGGGGCAAGUAAAAUUGCCCAUCCCACCGGAGAAGAAACUGAUGCCUCCGGGGAAAGAUGAGGAUUCUACUUUGAAGGCUAUGAAGAGGGCUUCUCGUCGCAAUCUUGAUGGCGAUUUGAGUGGAUUCAAGCCGGCUGGUCAAGCGCUACGCACGGUGUCCACUUCAUCUCUUCCGAUUGGGCCGUUUCAGUCAGGUUAUCCAUUUGGCGUCACAGAAGCUAUCAAGUUGGGCCAUCCUUCAGCGAGAGGAGCUGCGACCGUUGGUUGUGGAGGGUUCGCGACUCUUGGUGCGAACGGCCACGGUCUUUUUUUCCCGGGUGCAUGGGUGGCGAUCUAGUCUUCGGAUUGACUGUCGCUAGACUGGGAAAAUUGCUGCGUUUAUGUUUGUUUGUUUUUUUUAGUUUGGCUAUGUGCAUUAGGCAGAGGCCGGAAGUUUGUGUACCAAGACUAUGUAUCCUCUUGAUGUAUCGCUCUUGGU
Molecule: unclassified non-coding RNA, 796 nt
Filed under: Zea mays
Lineage: Eukaryota; Viridiplantae; Streptophyta; Magnoliopsida; Poales; Poaceae
Description: misc RNA Zm00001eb107780
Source: RNAcentral